This 468-nucleotide ribosomal RNA is filed under the name uncultured bacterium. RNAcentral describes it as "partial 16S ribosomal RNA". It matches the Rfam family "Bacterial small subunit ribosomal RNA", at positions 28 to 507 of the family's 1533-position model. The record is from RNAcentral.
GACGAACGCUGGCGGCGUGCUUAACACAUGCAAGUCGAACGGAGAGGCCCUGCUUUUGUGGGGUGCUCGAGUGGCGAACGGGUGAGUAACACGUGAGUAACCUGCCCUUGACUUUGGGAUAACUUCAGGAAACUGGGGCUAAUACCGGAUAGGAGCUCCUGCUGCAUGGUGGGGGUUGGAAAGUUUCGGCGGUUGGGGAUGGCCUCGCGAUUUAUCAGCCUGUUGGUGGGGUAGUGGCUUACCAAAGAUUUGACGGGUAGCCGGCCUGAGAGGGUGACCGGACACAUUGGGACUGAGAUACGGCCCAGACUCCUACGGGAGGCAGCAGUGGGGAAUAGUGCACACUGGGCGGCAGCCUGACGCAGCAACGCCGCGUGCGGGAGGACGGCCCUCGGGUUGUAAUCCGCGUUCGCAUGUUACGAAGCGUGAGUGACGGUAAUGGGUAAAGAAGCACCGGAUAACUACGUG